AAGGGGAAGGUAAAAAUAGAAAAUCUUUCGUUUAGUAUCCUAAUCAUUGUAGAAAGGGUUGAUUACACGUAUUGUUAAUAACGUAUUCGUUUAGGCAAAACUAAAGUGUUAAAAUAAAAAUGAAUAACCAUGAACAAGUCGGUUUAACCAUUGGCUGUCUGAAUAACCAUGAAAAAGUCGGUUUAACCUUUGGCUGUAUGUCUAUAUUAGUUGACAUUUUGGGGAUUGCUAUUCCGUUUUGGUCGUACAAUGGCGCGGGCGGUAACAGUGGCCUUUGGUUGUUUUGUGGAUCAACACCAUUAUUGGGCGGCUAUACAUGUCUUCCUUACAUUACAGUUUCCGUAGAUUUGAAGGCAGUGCGCGGAAUAAUGAUUGUGGGGCUGCUCGUCAUGAUCGCCCCUGUCGUCAUCUUCCUGCUGAAGAAGUUCCUCCUGAAGGACAUGGCCAUCUUGUUCAAAGUUAUCUCUUAUGUCACCGGAUUCGCAAUGACGCUGAACGUGUUCGGAGUUGUGAUAUACGGAAUCGACAAGAAUUUAAAUGUGCCCGGUACUCAUCUGCACAUAGGGUUUGCUCUGUGCAUCGUUGCGGCUGUGUUCUGCUUUGUGGGCGGGGUGUUCAUGGCGAUCGACAAGGACGCAGUACAACCUAAAUGUGAGGAUGUAUGCCCAAUAAAGAAGUGCCCACUUUUUUGAAUGCACCCAAACUUUG
Molecule: long non-coding RNA, 708 nt
Organism: Dreissena polymorpha
Lineage: Eukaryota; Metazoa; Mollusca; Bivalvia; Myida; Dreissenidae
Exons: 3
Source: RefSeq, a predicted model, not a curated record